CUACCAAGGCGACGAUCUUUAGACUGGUCUGAGAGGAUGAUCAGCCACACUGGGACUGAGACACGGCCCAGACUCCUACGGGAGGCAGCAGUGGGGAAUAUAUGGACAAUGGGCGCAAGCCUGAUCCAGCCAUGCCGCGUGAGUGAUGAAGGCCUUAGGGUUGUAAAGCUCUUUCAGUGGGGACGAUAAUGACGGUACCCACAGAAGAAGCCCCGGCUAACUUCGUGCCAGCAGCCGCGGUAAUACGAAGGGGGCUAGCGUCGUGUCGGAUUUACUGGGCGUAAAGCGCACGUACGCGGAUCGUUAAGUCGGGGGUGAAAUACCUGGAGCUCAACUCCAGAACUGCCUUCGAUACUGGCGAUCUUGAGUCCGGAAGAGGUGAGUGGAACUCCUAGUGUAGUGGUGGAAUUCGUAGAUAUCAUGAAGAACACCAGUGGCGACGGCUGCUCACUGGUCCGGUACUGACGCUGAGGUGCGAAAGCGUGGGGAGCAAACACGAUUAGAUACCCUGCUAGUCCACGCAGUAGACUAUGAGAGCUAGCAGUUUGCAGAUCUAUCUCUCAGUGGCGCAGCUAACGCAUGAAGCUCUCGACUAGAGGAGUACGGUCGCAAGAUUCAUACUCGACGGGAGUUGACGGGGGGCUGUCAUCNAGCAGUUGGAGCAUUGUUCUUUUAUUUCGAAAGCCACCGCGNUAGAAUCCUUAACAAGCCCUUAGACCUUGGCAGGNCGAGUUGCUGAUGACUGAUUUCUUACACUUUCGGUGACCUGCAGACGGAGUCCGCAUUGCCUGUC
Molecule: ribosomal RNA, 793 nt
Filed under: uncultured Gammaproteobacteria bacterium
Lineage: Bacteria; Pseudomonadati; Pseudomonadota; Gammaproteobacteria
Description: bacterial SSU rRNA
Rfam family: Bacterial small subunit ribosomal RNA
Source: RNAcentral